GCAUAUCAAUAAGCGGAGGAAAAGAAACCAACAGGGAUUGCCCUAGUAACGGCGAGUGAAGCGGCAACAGCUCAAAUUUGAAAUCUGGCGUCUUUGGCGUCCGAGUUGUAAUUUGCAGAGGGCGCUUUGGCAUUGGCAGCGGUCCAAGUUCCUUGGAACAGGACGUCACAGAGGGUGAGAAUCCCGUACGUGGUCGCUAGCCUUUACCGUGUAAAGCCCCUUCGACGAGUCGAGUUGUUUGGGAAUGCAGCUCUAAAUGGGAGGUAAAUUUCUUCUAAAGCUAAAUACUGGCCAGAGACCGAUAGCGCACAAGUAGAGUGAUCGAAAGAUGAAAAGCACUUUGGAAAGAGAGUUAAAAAGCACGUGAAAUUGUUGAAAGGGAAGCGCUUGCAGCCAGACUUGCCUGUAGUUGCUCAUCCGGGUUUCUACCCGGUGCACUCUUCUAUAGGCAGGCCAGCAUCAGUUUGGGCGGUUGGAUAAAGGUCUCUGUCAUGUACCUCCUUUCGGGGAGAACUUAUAGGGGAGACGACAUGCAACCAGCCUGGACUGAGGUCCGCGCAUCUGCUAGGAUGCUGGCGUAAUGGCUGUAAGCGGCCCGUCUUGAAACACGGACCAAGGAGUCUAACAUCUAUGCGAGUGUUUGGGUGUCAAGCCCGAGCGCGUAAUGAAAGUGAACGGAGGUGGGAACCUUUCGGGGUGCACCAUCGACCGAUCCUGAUGUCUUCGGAUGGAUUUGAGUAAGAGCAUAGCUGUUGGGACCCGAAAGAUGGUGAACUAUGCUUGAAUAGGGUGAAGCCAGAGGAAACUCUGGUGGAGGCUCGCAGCGGUUCUGACGUGCAAAUCGAUCGUCAAAUUUGGGCAUAGGGGCGAAAGACUAAUCGAACUAUCUUGUAGCUGGUUCCUGC
This 905-nucleotide ribosomal RNA is filed under the name Coniothyrium fraxini. RNAcentral describes it as "LSU rRNA". It matches the Rfam family "Eukaryotic large subunit ribosomal RNA", at positions 38 to 961 of the family's 3401-position model. Lineage: Eukaryota; Fungi; Ascomycota; Dothideomycetes; Pleosporales; Coniothyriaceae. The record is from RNAcentral.